Molecule: long non-coding RNA, 564 nt
Filed under: Mytilus galloprovincialis (Mediterranean mussel)
Lineage: Eukaryota; Metazoa; Mollusca; Bivalvia; Mytilida; Mytilidae
Source: RNAcentral
AAAUGAAAUAGUAUACAUCUUAAAUACACAAAAGUAUUCCCCGCAAUAAACCUCAUCUUAAUUGUACGUUUAACCCAAUAAUUUGAAAAUUAAAAACAAAAUAGUUAAAAAUAUUUAAUCCAAAAGGCCUCAAAAUAACAGUCAAAAUGGAUAUGCAACACGUAAACGUUAGAAACAUGGAGUAAUAUUCAAUCUUAUAAGCCAUUCGUUUUGCUUUGAACUCUAUUCAUUUAUAAAUCUAUUAUGAUCUGCUGUCUACCAGUGAAAUGUAGUGCAACAACUUGUUGACACUAGAUUUUUUGUUUUCAUUGGUGUCGCUUCAAAAAUGAAAUUAAUAAAUUCUGUAAAACAAAGGUAUUGGCUGUAACAUGUACUUGUCGGAUACCAAACAUUUAGUGCGAUGCAGAUAUAAAACUUCUUUUCAUGAUUAAAUAAAAACGACUAUUUAUUUAAUGGAUAGAAGGGCUUCAUGAGUAGACAUAACAUACAAUGAUAGUUGUUUUAUUGGCAAUUAUACCACAUCUUCUUUUUUAUAUAAGUGUAUAAUUUUAAAAUCCUUGGGAC